UGUUGAUGGCGACCGGCGCACGGGUGAGUAACACGUAUGCAACCUGCCCCUGUCAGGGGGACAACCCGCCGAAAGGCGGGCUAAACCCGCGUACAUGCCACCGGGGCAUCCCGGAGGCAGGAAAGGCUUCGGCCGGACAGGGAUGGGCAUGCGGCGCAUUAGGCAGUAGGCGGGGUAACGGCCCACCUAACCGACGAUGCGUAGGGGUUCUGAGAGGAAGGUCCCCCACACUGGUACUGAGACACGGACCAGACUCCUACGGGAGGCAGCAG
This 272-nucleotide ribosomal RNA is filed under the name uncultured bacterium. Its description in RNAcentral is "partial 16S ribosomal RNA". It matches the Rfam family "Bacterial small subunit ribosomal RNA", at positions 83 to 354 of the family's 1533-position model. The record is from RNAcentral.